Molecule: ribosomal RNA, 300 nt
Filed under: uncultured bacterium
Lineage: Bacteria
Description: bacterial SSU rRNA
Rfam family: Bacterial small subunit ribosomal RNA
Source: RNAcentral
AAGUCCCGUAACGAGCGCAACCCUUAUCCUUAGUUGCCAUCAGUUCGGCUGGGAACUCUAAGGAGACUGCCGGUGACAAACCGGAGGAAGGUGGGGACGACGUCAAGUCAUCAUGGCCCUUACGACCUGGGCUACACACGUGCUACAAUGGACGGUACAAAGGGUUGCCAAGCCGCAAGGUGGAGCUAAUCUCAUAAAACCGUUCGUAGUCCGGAUCGGAGUCUGCAACUCGACUCCGUGAAGUCGGAAUCGCUAGUAAUCGUGAAUCAGAAUGUCACGGUGAAUACGUUCCCGGGCCUU